This 496-nucleotide ribosomal RNA is filed under the name uncultured bacterium. RNAcentral describes it as "partial 16S ribosomal RNA". It matches the Rfam family "Bacterial small subunit ribosomal RNA", at positions 28 to 523 of the family's 1533-position model. The record is from RNAcentral.
GACGAACGCUGGCGGCGUGCUUAACACAUGCAAGUCGAACGAGAAUCUGCUGAAGGAGGAUUCGUCCAACGGAAGCAGAGGAAAGUGGCGGACGGGUGAGUAACGCGUGAGGAACCUGCCUUGAAGAGGGGGACAACAGUUGGAAACGACUGCUAAUACCGCAUGACGCAUAGAGGUCGCCUGAUCUUUAUGCCAAAGAUUUAUCGCUUCAAGAUGGCCUCGCGUCUGAUUAGCUGGUUGGCGGGGUAACGGCCCACAAAGGCGACGAUCAGUAGCCGGACUGAGAGGUUGAACGGCCACAUUGGGACUGAGAUACGGCCCAGACUCCUACGGGAGGCAGCAGUGGGGAAUAUUGGGCAAUGGGCGCAAGCCUGACCCAGCAACGCCGCGUGAAGGAAGAAGGCUUUCGGGUUGUAAACUUCUUUUAAGAGGGAAGAGCAGAAGACGGUACCUCUAGAAUAAGCCACGGCUAACUACUUGCCAGCCGCCGCCGUAA